GGCAUCUUGGUGGAAUUGGUAGACACGCUAGAUUCAAAAUCUGGUUCCUUCGGGAGUGCGAGUUCGAUUCUCGCAGAUGCUACCA
Molecule: transfer RNA, 85 nt
Filed under: Colwellia sp. MB3u-55
Lineage: Bacteria; Pseudomonadati; Pseudomonadota; Gammaproteobacteria; Alteromonadales; Colwelliaceae
Also listed under: 1 other name
Description: tRNA-Leu
Rfam family: tRNA
About the family: Transfer RNA (tRNA) molecules are approximately 80 nucleotides in length.
Source: RNAcentral